Long non-coding RNA from Octopus bimaculoides (California two-spot octopus), 434 nucleotides. RefSeq lists it as uncharacterized. Lineage: Eukaryota; Metazoa; Mollusca; Cephalopoda; Octopoda; Octopodidae. The record is from RefSeq and is a predicted model, not a curated record.
CAUGCUCAUUAUGACAAACUUAUUAUCAUACACUCUCUCUUUGCUCCCAGCGGAGGCCUGUCAGUGUCCAGCUGGACAUCUCUUCAAGUAUGUCUGCCUGUAAUGGAUUCAAUGAUUGAUGAUGAUAGCAAUUCGUCAUAAGUAACAUCUGCAUGUUUCUACAGUCAAACAUUUUUUUUCUUCUUCUUAGAUCAUGAAACAAACUUCAAACUACCCACUCAUUCUUUUCCUUAUCAAUCUGGAAAGAUUAUUGAAAUGCUAGAGCAGAAUUAUGUAGAUGCGUGCCAUGAGGCAGAAGAUGAGAUGGAGACGAACCUGAAUUAGACUCCUCAAUGAUCAUUCCGGAGAGAAUAUGUAUUUACGUCGAUGCUUUGGUAAUAACCGGAUCUUUCAAAGUACAGUAAAAAAAAAAAAAAACCGUCAAUUUUGAAUAA